This is a non-coding RNA of Clarias gariepinus (North African catfish), 588 nucleotides long. NCBI's taxonomy places the organism in Eukaryota, Metazoa, Chordata, Actinopteri, Siluriformes, Clariidae. The record is from the annotation of a RefSeq genome assembly.
AUGUCGUCGUGCCAAAACGUGAAGCUGAGCCAUAGUCGAGGACUACACCACUGUGGAGAUCAUCAGCUUUGGUGUGUGUUGUUGAGCGUCUCCUCCCUCUGCCCCUCCUCCUGUCUCUCUUAUAGCACGUCCCUGCAGUCUCUCCUUUAUCUGCUCCUCACGCUGCUCAUCUCUUCACUCAGCACGAGAGUCCCAUCACACACAGACACCAUGCUGCCAGCGCUCUGCUCUCUCUUCACUGCUCUCUCAUGUGUCAGUGGUGUGACUGUGGUGACGCAGAAGCCUCCUGUUCUCACACUGACUCAAGGACAGACGGCCACCAUGGACUGUAACCUGGGGAUUGUUACAAAAAGUGGUGCACGCUGGUACAAACAGGUUCCUGAAGGAGUUCCUCAGUUUUUGCUACAUAACUAUCAUGAAUGGAGCUCUCCUCGAUAUGGAUCUGGUUUCUCAUCACCUAAAUUCACAUCAACACACUCCUCUAAAUCAGAUUAUAAACUGAUUAUUAGUAAUGUGGAGGUUGGAGACUCAGCAGUGUAUUACUGUAACACAUGGGACGACUCUGCUAAAGAGCAUGUAUCACAGUGA